CGGUUAAGUUAGAAAGGGCGCACGGUGAAUGCCUUGGCACUAGGAGCCGAUGAAGGACGGGACGAACACCGAUAUGCUUCGGGGAGCUGUAAGCAAGCUUUGAUCCGGAGAUUUCCGAAUGGGGAAACCCACCACUCGUAAUGGAGUGGUAUCCAUAUCUGAAUACAUAGGAUAUGAGAAGGCAGACCCGGGGAACUGAAACAUCUAAGUACCCGGAGGAAGAGAAAGCAAAUGCGAUUCCCUGAGUAGCGGCGAGCGAAACGGGACCAGCCCAAACCAAGAGGCUUGCCUCUUGGGGUUGUAGGACACUCUGUACGGAGUUACAAAGGAACGAGGUAGAUGAAGAGGUCUGGAAAGGCCCGCCAUAGGAGGUAACAGCCCUGUAGUCAAAACUUCGUUCUCUCCUGAGUGGAUCCUGAGUACGGCGGAACACGUGAAAUUCCGUCGGAAUCCGGGAGGACCAUCUCCCAAGGCUAAAUACUCCCUAGUGACCGAUAGUGAACCAGUACCGUGAGGGAAAGGUGAAAAGCACCCCGGAAGGGGAGUGAAAGAGAUCCUGAAACCGUGUGCCUACAAGUAGUCAGAGCCCGUUAACGGGUGAUGGCGUGCCUUUUGUAGAAUGAACCGGCGAGUUACGAUCCCGUGCAAGGUUAAGCAGAAGAUGCGGAGCCGCAGCGAAAGCGAGUCUGAAUAGGGCGAAUUGAGUACGUGGUCGUAGACCCGAAACCAGGUGAUCUACCCAUGUCCAGGGUGAAGUUCAGGUAACACUGAAUGGAGGCCCGAACCCACGCACGUUGAAAAGUGCGGGGAUGAGGUGUGGGUAGGGGUGAAAUGCCAAUCGAACCUGGAGAUAGCUGGUUCUCUCCGAAAUAGCUUUAGGGCUAGCCUCAAGGUAAGAGUCUCGGAGGUAGAGCACUGAUUGGACUAGGGGCCCCUACCGGGUUACCGAAUUCAGUCAAACUCCGAAUGCCGAUGACUUAUCCUUGGGAGUCAGACUGCGAGUGAUAAGAUCCGUAGUCGAAAGGGAAACAGCCCAGACCGCCAGCUAAGGUCCCAAAGUAUACGUUAAGUGGAAAAGGAUGUGGAGUUGCUUAGACAACCAGGAUGUUGGCUUAGAAGCAGCCACCAUUUAAAGAGUGCGUAAUAGCUCACUGGUCGAGUGACUCUGCGCCGAAAAUGUACCGGGGCUAAACGUAUCACCGAAGCUGCGGACUGUUCUUCGAACAGUGGUAGGAGAGCGUUCUAAGGGCUGUGAAGCAAGACCGGAAGGACUUGUGGAGCGCUUAGAAGUGAGAAUGCCGGUAUGAGUAGCGAAAGAGGGGUGAGAAUCCCCUCCACCGAAUGCCUAAGGUUUCCUGAGGAAGGCUCGUCCGCUCAGGGUUAGUCGGGACCUAAGCCGAGGCCGAAAGGCGUAGGCGAUGGAUAACAGGUUGAUAUUCCUGUACCACCUCCUCACCAUUUGAGCAAUGGGGGGACGCAGGAGGAUAGGGUAAGCGCGGUAUUGGAUAUCCGCGUCCAAGCAGUUAGGCUGGGAAAUAGGCAAAUCCGUUUCCCGUGAAGGCUGAGCUGUGAUGGCGAGCGAAUUAUAGUAGCGAAGUUCCUGAUUCCACACUGCCAAGAAAAGCCUCUAGCGAGGUGAGAGGUGCCCGUACCGCAAACCGACACAGGUAGGCGAGGAGAGAAUCCUAAGGUGAUCGAGAGAACUCUCGUUAAGGAACUCGGCAAAAUGACCCCGUAACUUCGGGAGAAGGGGUGCUCUGUUAGGGUGCAAGCCCGAGAGAGCCGCAGUGAAUAGGCCCAGGCGACUGUUUAGCAAAAACACAGGUCUCUGCGAAGCCGUAAGGCGAAGUAUAGGGGCUGACGCCUGCCCGGUGCUGGAAGGUUAAGAGGAGCGCUUAGCGUAAGCGAAGGUGCGAAUUGAAGCCCCAGUAAACGGCGGCCGUAACUAUAACGGUCCUAAGGUAGCGAAAUUCCUUGUCGGGUAAGUUCCGACCCGCACGAAAGGCGCAACGAUCUGGGCACUGUCUCAACGAGAGACUCGGUGAAAUUAUAGUACCUGUGAAGAUGCAGGUUACCCGCGACAGGACGGAAAGACCCCGUGGAGCUUUACUGCAGCCUGAUAUUGAAUGUUGGUACAGCUUGUACAGGAUAGGUAGGAGCCUUGGAAACCGGAGCGCCAGCUUCGGUGGAGGCAUCGGUGGGAUACUACCCUGGCUGUAUUGACCUUCUAACCCGCCGCCCUUAUCGGGCGGGGAGACAGUGUCAGGUGGGCAGUUUGACUGGGGCGGUCGCCUCCUAAAAGGUAACGGAGGCGCCCAAAGGUUCCCUCAGAAUGGUUGGAAAUCAUUCGCAGAGUGUAAAGGCACAAGGGAGCUUGACUGCGAGACCUACAAGUCGAGCAGGGACGAAAGUCGGGCUUAGUGAUCCGGUGGUUCCGCAUGGAAGGGCCAUCGCUCAACGGAUAAAAGCUACCCCGGGGAUAACAGGCUUAUCUCCCCCAAGAGUCCACAUCGACGGGGAGGUUUGGCACCUCGAUGUCGGCUCAUCGCAUCCUGGGGCUGUAGUCGGUCCCAAGGGUUGGGCUGUUCGCCCAUUAAAGCGGUACGCGAGCUGGGUUCAGAACGUCGUGAGACAGUUCGGUCCCUAUCCGUCGCGGGCGCAGGAAAUUUGAGAGGAGCUGUCCUUAGUACGAGAGGACCGGGAUGGACGCACCGCUGGUGUACCAGUUGUUCUGCCAAGGGCAUCGCUGGGUAGCUAUGUGCGGACGGGAUAAGUGCUGAAAGCAUCUAAGCAUGAAGCCCCCCUCAAGAUGAGAUUUCCCAUUCCGCAAGGAAGUAAGAUCCCUGAAAGAUGAUCAGGUUGAUAGGUCUGAGGUGGAAGUGUGGCGACACAUGGAGCUGACAGAUACUAAUCGAUCGAGGACUUAACCAAUUU
RNAcentral lists this ribosomal RNA (2934 nucleotides) under Bacillus velezensis. RNAcentral's name for it is "bacterial LSU rRNA". It matches the Rfam family "Bacterial large subunit ribosomal RNA". Lineage: Bacteria; Bacillati; Bacillota; Bacilli; Caryophanales; Bacillaceae. The record is from RNAcentral.